GUCCCAGUAGCUCAGCUGGAUAGAGCAACGGCCUUCUAAGCCGUGGGUCAUGGGUUCGAAUCCCUUCUGGGACA
Molecule: transfer RNA, 74 nt
Organism: Sporolactobacillus laevolacticus DSM 442
Lineage: Bacteria; Bacillati; Bacillota; Bacilli; Caryophanales; Sporolactobacillaceae
Rfam family: tRNA
About the family: Transfer RNA (tRNA) molecules are approximately 80 nucleotides in length.
Source: Rfam